AACACGGACCAAGGAGUCUAGCAUGUGCGCGAGUCAUUGGGACACGAUUAAACCUAAAGGCGCAAUGAAAGUGAAGGCUCGCCUUGCGCGAGCCGAGGGAAGAUGGGCGCUCCGUGUUCUCGCGGUCGCCCCGCAUUCCCGGGGCGUCUCGUUCUCAUUGCGAGAAGAGGCGCACCAAGAGCGUACACGCUGGGACCCGAAAGAUGGUGAACUAUGCCUGGUCAGGACGAAGUCAGGGGAAACCCUGAUGGAGGUCCGUAGCGAUUCUGACGUGCAAAUCGAUCGUCGGAACUGGGUAUAGGGGCGAAAGACUAAUCGAACCAUCUAGUAGCUGGUUCCCUCCGAAGUUUCCCUCAGGAUAGCUGGCGCUCGUCGCCAACGAGUCUCAUCCGGUAAAGCGAAUGAUUAGAGGCAUUGGGGCCGAAACGGCCUCAACCUAUUCUCAAACUUUAAAUGGGUGAGAUCUCCGGCUUGCUCGAACCGAUGAAGCCGCGAGACUCGGAUCAGAGUGCCAAGUGGGCCAUUUUUGGUAAGCAGAACUGGCGCUGUGGGAUGAACCAAACGCCGAGUUAAAGCGCCUAAAUCGACGCUUAUGGGAUACCAUGAAAGGCGUUGGUAACUUAAGACAGCAGGACGGUGGCCAUGGAAGUCGGAAUCCG
This 659-nucleotide ribosomal RNA is filed under the name Dasytes cf. lanzarotensis G0330. Its description in RNAcentral is "partial 28S large subunit ribosomal RNA". It matches the Rfam family "Eukaryotic large subunit ribosomal RNA", at positions 658 to 1270 of the family's 3401-position model. The record is from RNAcentral. Lineage: Eukaryota; Metazoa; Arthropoda; Insecta; Coleoptera; Melyridae.